Molecule: long non-coding RNA, 772 nt
Organism: Hyla sarda
Lineage: Eukaryota; Metazoa; Chordata; Amphibia; Anura; Hylidae
Exons: 3
Source: RefSeq, a predicted model, not a curated record
CAGAAAUCGCAACCACACACUGACCAGACUUACUACUGGUAAUGGUCAGUUAUGCCUGUCUUUCAUAUUUCACAAACAGUUGAGCUUAUCUCAGAUACGAGACACUGAUAUCCCUGGCACAUGCACAUUGCUCUACAUAGAGAUCAGCCGGCCCUAAGUCAGAUUUGUUGUCAGUGCGCAAGCGCAUUUCCCAAGCGUGCAUUGCGAACAAAGGAAGACUGAGGAACCGGACGCAUACUCGAUGACUCGCCACAUCGGACUCAGACGGGGAGUACGUCACACAGAGGGACUGUCAGACAAGCUGGCUAAGGGACACAAGAUACCAACAAACGUCAAGUGACCGCUCACACUUCCUAUGAUCACCACGCCGGACCCCGGAGUGCCUGGUACCAUUUCCAGCUCAAUGUAAUGAAGAGAGUCCAAAGAAAGAAGUUCCAGCUCAGCUCGUGCAUUAAAACCAGGUAUCUUUAUUGAAACAAGCCAAACAGCAACAUAUACAUCACGAACAGUAGUACCGAGGCGUUUCGGGCCUCCUGGAUACAAGAUAAGUGUGAACUAUGGCACAAAAGGUUGCAGAUGGAAUGUUUUACACUGGCAGGAAGCUAGUCCACCAAUAGCAUAGUCAGGGCAUGUUGGCACAUGUAGGUAGUGGCCCAGGAGUCCAGUGUUUAUUUUGUUCCUGAUUUUAUUUAUUUUGUUGUACCUGCAGCCUUGAGUGAAAUAAACGUGGUGAGGAACCAGACCUUGCAUGAGGCUGCUGUGGUGUGUUGAC